Molecule: long non-coding RNA, 2158 nt
Organism: Impatiens glandulifera
Lineage: Eukaryota; Viridiplantae; Streptophyta; Magnoliopsida; Ericales; Balsaminaceae
Exons: 4
Source: RefSeq, a predicted model, not a curated record
GCGGCCCCUUUCAAUCUCAGUAUUAAUUUCUUAUUACAAACUCCAAUCGUAUGGCUCUCGAGGUCCAUCUUCUUCCUCUAUCUUAUAUUAUGCAGAAAUUACUGUCUUUGAAGUCUACUUCCCUCCAUAGGUGAAAUCUGCUUCUAUUGAUUAAGUUAUCGCGUGAAUGUAUCUGCGCAUAUUCAUGGAGUUGUACUGCAGUUGCCAAGGAAGCCAUGGAAGUUCAUGAUUGUUCAUUGCACUUUGUACAAGAAGUGGAAGACAUUGUCGUCUCCAUGAGGUUUGACAAGAAUCAAAGAGUAAUGUUUUCUUGAAUGGGAAUGAAAGUACCCAAAAUAUUCCCACCCACAUCAGGGAACGUUUCACAGCCCGGAAUUGACCUAACUUUGCCAUUCCAAUCAACCUGAACUGGAUACUUAAGCAGGUGUCCUGUCAUCUCAAUUAAAUCCUCACCAGCAUAUAGCCUCCAGUUAUGUUCACCCAUUGCUCUCACCCGUUGAACACACUCGAUGUUCUCGGGCUGCACGAAACAGUCCUCCACGACUCCAGUGUGCUCUGCCCAUAGUGACAUUCUGUAACCAUAGAUCUGAACAACCAAAUUUAGGGUUAGUUUCAUUGAACGUAUUGCAGGCCAUAGAGAGAAUUGUUUUUUAGAAACCUGUUUGAUUAGGCUUAUUCAUAACAUCGAUUCUUAGACGUGUGAACUUUUACCUGACCAAACGGUUUAGAUCCUUUCUUCGCCCAAGUGAACUGAGGUUGAUAUGCACCCAUUGCAAUUUCAGUAUCUCUCGACCCAUCUAAUGAACGCUGGUUUAUGUUUGCAGAUCCCAAUAUCACAUACUCAUCGUCCACUAUCAUUCCUUUCGAGUGAACAUAAAUCAUAAACCGUCGGUUCUUUUGUGCUAGAAACUGAAAAACAUUAAUUUAGAAUAAGUUUAACACUGCGAAGAUACUAUACAUACAAAAAAUUACUGAUAGGAAAAAGGGAAGAGUGAUUUACUUGAGGACUGUUUUUGGGUACGUGUUUUCCUACAUCUGAAACAUCACCCACUUCUUGUGUUUCUCGAUUUCCGAGGCAGAAGAAAUUCAAGUAGUCUUGAGGCUCAUACUGAUUGUCGAGCCCUACCUCUUGUAAAGCAUUAUAAAUUACAUCAUACAUCAUUUGCAUUGUUUUAUUCUGCAUAACAUAAUUGUUGUGUAUUUAGUAUAAAACAUUAACUAACAAUUAUAAGUACUGUUAAUGGAAUUUGGAAUUUCAACCUGCCAGUAGAGAAUUCUUUGUGUAACCUUAUGAGUAGAACCACCUUCUGGAUACAUUGGAAUGACAAUAUAAGCAGCAAAUCUUUGCUUUCCUCUGAUUUUGUUUGCAAUCUUUAGAGCUAUUUCCAUCGGUAUGAGAUUGUUAAUGCCUUUGUCUUUGUGAUUUUCCCAGUUAUACGACGAUCCAAGGAAAUAUUGAUUUUCGAUGUAGAUAAAAUGUUGUGCAGAUCGAAUUGCCUUCACGUAUGCUGAAUGUAUGCUCAUGUCUAUCAGUACAUUCUUACCACAUGCCAAGUUCUGUCACAUAACAAUCAAGAUACAUCAAUAAAAGCGUAACUUGGAAACACUUUUCUAUCUGGAUCAGGGGCGCCAAUAAAUUUGUAUAUACAGAUCCAUAUAUGUCUGGGUCUUUUGGGAAUCCCUUGACAGAGUUGGAAUCAAUUGAUCUGAAGAUCUGAAGGAGAAGUUGAAGAAAGCAAACAGGACUUAGAGAUCUUGGACAAAGCAACACUUUUACCGAAGAAUGUUUGAAAAAUUGUCGAGUCACUUCAUCGCUGGUUUUCAUUAUCCCUUCCUAUCAAAAUGCACAUUAAUUAGGCCUAGUUCAAAUUUAAUAAAAGUAAAACUAACUUAAUUUCAUCGUCCCUUACUAUCAAAAUGCACAUCAUUUAGGCCUAGUUCAAAUUUAAUAAAAGUAAAACUAACUUCAUUUCAUCGUUCACAUUAUUGUGUGAAAUAUCUUAUAUUUCUUUUAACUUAUUUGGCUCAAAUAAAUAAUAUUUACCUUUUUUAUUCCCAAAAGGCUAUGAGAAGUAGGAUCGUCCCAAACGAGAAGCAAUACUCUCACGCCUUCCUGCGAUUUUCUUAUGAGGAGAUCUCCUAAGCUUAAAUCUCUUUU